GAGGACAGGCUCCCGAGAGCCGUUCCUGAAAAGGUGGCUGUUCCUGAGCUGCAGGGACCCACGGGGCCCAACAGGCGGCGCUCACGUGUCAUUAUGGCCUGCGCUCGGGGAGCCUGCCCACGGGGUGCCCCGCGGGGGGAGGGGUGGCGUGGGAAGGGGAGGCCGGCUCCAGGCUGUGAGCUCAGUCGGCUGGCGGGGGCAGAGCUGGCUGCAGGCCCGGCCCCUCUCAGCUGCUGCCCUCUCCAGGUCCGCUCUGCAGUGUGUGCGUGAACCGCUUUGGCUGCCGGCCCGUCAUGCUUGUGGGGGGUCUCUUUGCGUCGCUGGGCAUGGUGGCUGCGUCCUUUUGCCGGAGCAUCAUCCAGGUCUACCUCACCACUGGGGUCAUCACGGGGUUGGGUUUGGCACUCAACUUCCAGCCCUCGCUCAUCAUGCUGAACCGCUACUUCAGCAAGCGGCGCCCCAUGGCCAACGGGCUGGCGGCAGCAGGCAGCCCUGUCUUCCUGUGUGCCCUGAGCCCGCUGGGGCAGCUGCUGCAGGACCGCUACGGCUGGCGGGGCGGCUUCCUCAUCCUGGGCGGCCUGCUGCUCAACUGCUGCGUGUGUGCUGCACUCAUGAGGCCCCUGGUGGCCAUGGCCCAGCCAGGCUCGGGGCCGCCGCGAUCCUCCCGGC
RNAcentral lists this small RNA (669 nucleotides) under Pan troglodytes (chimpanzee). RNAcentral's name for it is "retained intron". The record is from RNAcentral. Lineage: Eukaryota; Metazoa; Chordata; Mammalia; Primates; Hominidae.